Molecule: long non-coding RNA, 384 nt
Filed under: Capsicum annuum
Lineage: Eukaryota; Viridiplantae; Streptophyta; Magnoliopsida; Solanales; Solanaceae
Description: long non-coding RNA (CANN_LNC016572)
Source: RNAcentral
ACAAAGUUUCGGUCAUGAACAGUAAGAAAUAUGAAUAGCAACAACAACACUUGAGAAUAUAUAUAUAUAUAUAUAUAUAUAUAUAAAUGGUGAAAUUCCACCAAAAUAGGGAGCAAAAAUUUAUUUUAUUUUAUGUGUAUAUGUGUGUUUUUUGUGUGUUUGAGAUAGAGAAAAGGAGAAAAAAUUUGUGUGUAUUUGUUUAUUCUUGAGAGAGGGGAGAAAGAAGAAUAUAAUGUGUGUGUGAUUAAAAAAUGUGCAUAUGCAUUAGUGUAUUUUUGAGAGAGAAAAUGAAAAAUAAGGAAAGAUUUUAUCUUGUGUUUUUUUUUGUGUAUGUAUUUGAGAGAGAGAAAAGAUAUGUGUGGGUGUAUGAAAAUGUGUGUGUAG